UCGAAACAGUCAGCCCUGCGACGCUCGGGAGAAUUUCAGGAUCGUUUUGGCGGUCCGGUCAACCGGUGGUGGCGGAUGAACGCCCGGCUGCUACAAAUACCCGCGGCCGUACAAGGCCAAUGUGUAGUCAUGGUUGACUCAGGCUGGCCCUUUGUGGCCGCAGUGUUGGCAGAUUUCGUUGUGGCCUCCCCCUAGGGGGUGCGCCCUCCCUGCUUGAUCGCAAGAGCUUUUGACCUAUUCGCUUGAGUGUGGUGUAUUUGACCACAGUGGCCUUGACGGGGAAAGGAGAAUUAGGGUUUGGUUCCGGGGGGGGAGCCUGGGAGGAGGCUACCCAUUCCAAGGUGGGGAGCAGGCACGCAAAUUGGCCCCUGCAAAGACAGUUUGUGAGGGAGGGACGAACCGUAGCAAUCCCGUCGGCAAUCACUGCCGAUGGGACUUGGAAAGGGUGCUAUCCAAAGACAGUUAUGAGUAUCAACUGGGGGGCAA
Molecule: ribosomal RNA, 486 nt
Filed under: uncultured eukaryote
Lineage: Eukaryota
Description: bacterial SSU rRNA
Rfam family: Eukaryotic small subunit ribosomal RNA
Source: RNAcentral